CCUACGGGAGGCAGCAGUGGGGAAUAUUGGGCAAUGGGCGCAAGCCUGACCCAGCAACGCCGCGUGAAGGAAGAAGGCUUUCGGGUUGUAAACUUCCUUUGACAGGGGAGAGCAGAAGACGGUACCUAUUGAAUAAGCUACGGCUAACUACGUGCGAGCAGCCGCGGUAAUACGUAGGUGGCCAGCGUUGUCCGGAUUUACUGGGUUUAAAGGGCGUGUAGCCGGGCUGGCAAGUCAGAUGUGAAAUCUGGGGGCUCAACCCCCGAACUGCAGUUGAAACUGUUGGUCUUGAGUAUCGGAGAGGUAGGCGGAAUUCCUGGUGUAGCGGUGAAAUGCGUAGAUAGUAGGAGGAACACCAGUGGCGAAGGCGGCCUGCUGGACUAUAACUGACGGUGAGGCGCGAAAGUGUGGGGAGCAAACAGGAUUAGAUACCCGUGUAGUC
Molecule: ribosomal RNA, 442 nt
Filed under: uncultured bacterium
Lineage: Bacteria
Description: partial 16S ribosomal RNA
Rfam family: Bacterial small subunit ribosomal RNA
Source: RNAcentral